This 21-nucleotide non-coding RNA is filed under the name Caenorhabditis elegans. Lineage: Eukaryota; Metazoa; Nematoda; Chromadorea; Rhabditida; Rhabditidae. The record is from RNAcentral.
UAUGUAUCUAGCAGCCGUGGC